Long non-coding RNA from Drosophila novamexicana, 941 nucleotides. RefSeq lists it as uncharacterized. Lineage: Eukaryota; Metazoa; Arthropoda; Insecta; Diptera; Drosophilidae. The record is from RefSeq and is a predicted model, not a curated record. The transcript is spliced from 3 exons.
UGAGCGCUAUGUGUUGGAUUGUGCGCUUUACUAGGAUGGCUGCACCUCCACGGCGGUUGUUAGAUGGGUGGUUUGCCAGCAUAAAUAACUCCAUCUCUUCCAGUUUAUUGUGUAGUCCUGCUGCAUUCCAGGCUACAAUUUUAAGGGCGUUGGUGUUGAGUCUGGCAUAUAUGUUAUGCCCAUUUCUCUCUGAGGAGGAAGUGAUGGAGUUAGCGUCGUGGCUAGACAUUUUGGUUACCAUUGACGCGCUCCAUGGUAGACAUGAGAGUGCUUACGGUAGCCAUCAUACUCGUCAUUAGAUCAACUAAUCUGUCAAUUUUACUUUCCAGGUUGCUGUUAUUGGCAGGGGCAAUUGGGCUCCUUUGUUGUUCAACCAUUAUGUUGAUCAGCUGAUCAAGUUUUCGGCUGAGGUCAUCUCGCGGGUAUGCAGUUCGCGGUGAGCUGCGGCUGCGGCUCCUGUGUUGCUGGCGCGCUUCUGCAGGAUGUGCUAUCACUUGCCGAGUUUCUCGCUCCUGAUAAUGCACAUGCUGGUGGCGCUGAGGCGGCUGAUUGUUGUGCUGCAAUCUCGAAUCAUGUUGAGGCUGCUGUCGAGUUGUUUGGCGCUGUGCGGUCUGCUUCUGCACUCGGGAGCGCUCAUCUGGCAGGCCAGCUUUAAGGGCGGCUGCAUAGCUGCUUGCAGCUUGAGGCAUUGGCUGCUGGUGUUGCACUUGCUGACGGAAUGAGUUGUGCUGCGGCUGCUUCUGCUGCUCAGAGGGCCGCUGUGGUUGCUGCUGUUGUGCCUGCUGGCCCUGAACAACUGGAGGCCGAAGCGGUUGCUGCUUUGGUCGUCCCUGUUGCCUACCAGAGCUAAUUGGAAUGCAUUGUUUUUGAAGAAGAUGCAGCCCCUGUAACUAGCAGCAUGUGGGCCCUUACAAUUAGCACAUUUCGCUUCUGCACUAGGC